GAUGAACGCUGGCGGCGUGCCUAAUACAUGCAAGUAGAACGCUGAAGCUUGGUGCUUGCCCCGAGCGGAUGAGUUGCGAACGGGUGAGUAACGCGUAGGUAACCUGCCUCUUAGCGGGGGAUAACUAUUGGAAACGAUAGCUAAUACCGCAUAAAAGUCGAUAUCGCAUGAUAUUGAUUUGAAAGGUGCAAAUGCAUCACUAAGAGAUGGACCUGCGUUGUAUUAGCUAGUUGGUGAGGUAACGGCUCACCAAGGCGACGAUACAUAGCCGACCUGAGAGGGUGAUCGGCCACACUGGGACUGAGACACGGCCCAGACUCCUACGGGAGGCAGCAGUAGGGAAUCUUCGGCAAUGGGGGCAACGCUGACCGAGCAACGCCGCGUGAGUGAAGAAGGUUUUCGGAUCGUAAAGCUCUGUUGUAAGAGAAGAACGAGUGUGAGAGUGGAAAGUUCACACUGUGACGGUAACUGACCAGAAAGGGACGGCUAACUACGUG
Molecule: ribosomal RNA, 497 nt
Filed under: uncultured bacterium
Lineage: Bacteria
Description: partial 16S ribosomal RNA
Rfam family: Bacterial small subunit ribosomal RNA
Source: RNAcentral